Molecule: non-coding RNA, 206 nt
Organism: Pelobates cultripes (western spadefoot toad)
Lineage: Eukaryota; Metazoa; Chordata; Amphibia; Anura; Pelobatidae
Source: the annotation of a GenBank genome assembly
CUAGCAGACGCACACACACAGCUUAAUGUGGUGGUACUGGUGUCUAUAGCAUGUCCCUACAGGCUUUUCAACGUAAACACUGACUUUUCAGACAAAAGGCAGUGUUUACAUUGCUUCAAAGUGACACUGCUAGUGACAGUCACUCAGACGGUCACUAGAGGUGCUUCCUGUGUUAGUGCCCUCGCGCGCUGCUGAAUGAGACUGGC